Long non-coding RNA from Acipenser ruthenus (sterlet), 1599 nucleotides. RefSeq lists it as uncharacterized. Lineage: Eukaryota; Metazoa; Chordata; Actinopteri; Acipenseriformes; Acipenseridae. The record is from RefSeq and is a predicted model, not a curated record. The transcript has 6 exons.
AUUAUUUCUUUUAACAAACGUACUGAUUGAAAAUUAGAGGAUUAAUAUGAAACAGGUGCGUGCAUUAAUUGCAGCCAAUUAGCUCACAUUAGCACCUGAACCUCUUUAUAAACCCAUUGCGCACUAAUGAACACCAAACUCAGCUACUGGCUGUUUUUUCUUUAGACCGAAGAAAGAAGUUCACGGUUGCCUUGGAUUUAAUGAUGCUGUGCUGUCUUAGAUUUGGAAUAACAUUGCUGUUGGCAGUGUUAGUAACUGAAGUUUGGAUGCGAAACCCCCCUCUAGGGUCGUUUUCUGCAGGCUCGGUGAGGAGAGAAUGUUAAGGCAGUGUGAUGAUAAUGAUGAUGAUAGAGAAGUCUUUUGGGGGAUAUGCUUUCGUAUCGAUGUGAUUGACAAUAAUGGGGUGCUUGUUUCCCUCUAAGACUGGCUGCACAGUGUGGAUAUAGCUUAACCUUUGACUUCUUGGGAAAUGUCAAGUUCCUUGCUUCUGUGCUGAGCUGCUUUGCUCGAACACAAAUGAUGACCCCUUCAAACUGACAGUACAAAUCAGUAUCUUCUCAAACUGUGCUAUGACUUUAGCUUCCUUUUAUGUUCAAAGCAUGACGUGCCCAGAUUCUCCAUGGGCAGAGAGAAAUUCUGUAGAAAAGAAACUACAUGGAGAUUCAACCUACAAUGACCUCCUAUAGAGCUCGGGAUUACCCUGUUGUGAAGUACUUAAGGCCCUUGUAUUUUGAGGUAGAGCUCCUGUACAGCAGGGGUCUACAGGCUGAAUUGUUUUUGAAGAACUGCUGGGUAACCUAUUCUGGGUGGGGAGGGCUGAGUAUUUAUUAAUACCCUUUUUGGAAAGUGUAUUAAUAAAUAAAUCUAAACUAUCCCAAAACUGUUUCUGAGUUUUGCCCCAUGCAGUCUCCCUUAUUUUGACAGCUCUGUGUUGACAGGUCUGAAAUUGUACCCAGCAGUACUAUCACAUCAUAAAACACAACAUUUUAUAGGCAGGCCUAUUAUCCAUGUAGUAUUUGAUUAAAUAACAUUUCUGAUCUUUUAUCACAGGUUACUUAACAUACAGCAAACAUAAACCCUAGGGCUAUUAUAUCACAUUAUUUAUUUUUUUUACAUACAAUUACCCAUUUAUACAGUGUGUGGUGGAUUGAUUUAUUUUAACUGGAGCAAUGUAGGUAAAGUGCUUUGCUCAAGGGUACAGCAGCAGUGUCCCCCACCUGGGAUUGAACCCAUGACCCUCUGGUCAGGAGUCCAGAGCCUUAACCACUACUCCACACUGCUGCCCUUUUCAUAUGUUUUUCCAUGGCAAAAACAUAUUAGAUACUGGAUUUCUGCUUAAUAAAAGUAAAAACUGGGCACUGCAUAAUUGUUCUGCUAUAUGUGGUGUGUGUGUGUGUGUUCAUUACCCCAUUUAAAGCAUUUACUGAUGGAAGAUCAACAUGUCACAGACCAAAUACUGCAGUGUGUCAUGUCAUCCAGUUCAAACUUUAGGACACUCAAUAGUUAUCAAAUGACAAUGAUAGUUGCAUUAGCAUGUUUCCAUAGGACUGUCUGUGUUAACAUCUUCUGUAUUUAUUUAACUCAAGCUUUCACCAAAAG